UUUGUUGGCAGGGACAUUCUGAAUAAACAGAGAUAACUUUAAAAUGGCUUCUCUUUCUCUUAGAUUUUAUGAAAAAUAUUUUCUAUUCCCAAGCAGAUUUUGAGGGAACAAGCAGUUCUUUAGAUUUGUACAUUUGAAUGUUGUGUAAUGGUUUGCUGUGAUAUGUCUCCAUCAGCUUGUUUUAAAAGUUUUGUACAUACCUGUGAACGAACAACAACUGUGUUGUAGACUUUUAGCUGAUGCUGACAAAUAUUUGUACAAUUAAAUAAAUAUGAGGGAUUUGAUUUACAUAAUAUGGGAUACUUCUUCUGGUUCUGUUGGGGAUAACAAACGCUCCCUGUUCACUUUUUCCUGCUGAUGGUUUAAGACAUAUCCUCAAAGCCUCAGUCCGGCUGAGACGCAUUCUGGCCUCUCUAUAAAGCACCCUCCAUCUCUGACUGGUCAGCUGGCUGUGCAAAAACAAGAAGAUGAAAGGUGUCUGAUAUUGAGAUAUGACAACUUUAUCUUAAACUGUGCUGUCUGUUUUGCAUGAAAAGUGCUAUACAAAUAAAGUCUGAUUUGUUUUUCACAGUGCAAGCACAUGGAUGUGUGAUGUGAGAGGGACGAAAAAAGUAAAUAAAGUCUUAUACUUCGACUUGAAAUUUGUGAGCCCUGGAAAAAAGGAUGCAGGAAUGAAAUUCAUUCUUGCAGGCCAGUUAGCAGAUGCAAUACAAAUAAUAUCAGCCAUGAUUUAAAAAACUGUGCUUUCAAAGAUUAGAGAAUGGAUUCGACCAAAUGCUGAUGCUCCAGCUUUGCCCACAAUCAAAGAAGAACUUGGAGAUUCUAUUUGGAAAAGUUUCUCCUCAUGUAUGAAUGUACAUCCUGAAGUCUUAGUUUCAGUUGAGGAUUUAGAUGCUAAAAAGCUCAAAGAAAUGUUAGAGAUGAAAACAGAAAGCAAAGUUAGUUCUCUUCUCUCAGAAGCAUCUAGCUCAUUGCUCUUUAUGUUUGUGGCCUAGUAGAAAGUAUCAGACAUCUUGGCCACAUGGUUUGCCAUGCGGGCGUUUGUCUAUGAAAAUUACUUUUUAAAACAUCAGACCAAAUCCUCACAUCAAGGUAUUAAGUCAAGUUGUUCUGACACACAGUCUCCAAAAAACGGAAAAUCAUCAGUCUCUGCUAAGUCACAAACAAUCUGUGAUAAAUAUAUUAAGUAAAAGGUCAGAAAAUGUGUAGACCUCCUCACCCAUCCGGCUUUCUUUUUUAGCAAGUAUAAGUAUAGUAUAAGUAUAGUGUCAUUCUAAGUAAACAUAAAUAUGUUUUUUAAUGGAUUUUUUAAUUGUUGUACAUUAAUAUGACUGUAUAUUAUUUGCUUAAUGUAUCCUUGCUAGCCACUUUUGUAUUUGGAGAAAACUCCUUUCCUUUUGUGCCAUGUCCUCUGCUUUUCCCACUUAUUUUGAGUUUUCUACACUGCAUCAAACCAGGUUUCUGGUGUUUCAUCAGGGGUUUGGUAAACAACAAUAGCAUUUGUUUGCCUCUGUUGCAAUCAGCUGCUAAAUUCUGACAAAGGCUGCAGAUGGAAAUAUAAUC
This is a long non-coding RNA of Melanotaenia boesemani (Boeseman's rainbowfish), 1563 nucleotides long. RefSeq lists it as uncharacterized. The record is from RefSeq and is a predicted model, not a curated record. The transcript has 3 exons. Lineage: Eukaryota; Metazoa; Chordata; Actinopteri; Atheriniformes; Melanotaeniidae.